GAUUGAUGAACGAAAUGGGCAACAUGAGGGUGGCCAAGACGAUGGGCGUGCCGGACUCCUGGAGGCCGCCCAGCCAUUUCCUCACCAGGACUUUAAAAGAAGAAGUUGAAGGGACACAUCUUGCACUAAACAGAGUUAGGAUGCAAGAAACAGACUUGGGGAAAAAAAAAGAAACCCAUUUUUACCGCACAAGAUGAAGGCGCGGCCAUCAAUGGCAUGAAGAUGCAAGAACAGUUCACUAAGCACUUUACAGAGAAUCAAGUAUGCUCGACAAUAGUAGAAAUAAAGUUCUUUAAUAUCACUAAAA
Molecule: non-coding RNA, 307 nt
Organism: Chiloscyllium plagiosum (whitespotted bambooshark)
Lineage: Eukaryota; Metazoa; Chordata; Chondrichthyes; Orectolobiformes; Hemiscylliidae
Source: RefSeq, a predicted model, not a curated record